Chiloscyllium plagiosum (whitespotted bambooshark) is the source of this 812-nucleotide long non-coding RNA. RefSeq lists it as uncharacterized. NCBI's taxonomy places the organism in Eukaryota, Metazoa, Chordata, Chondrichthyes, Orectolobiformes, Hemiscylliidae. The record is from RefSeq and is a predicted model, not a curated record.
ACCCCACUUUGUGGUCAAGUGAACUACAGAUAUGUUUCAACUUACCUUCACAAUUAGAGAUAUUUUCCUAAUCAACUUGCUCAGAGAAGAUAUAACACACUUCUGGAGUAGUCCUUCAAUCAGAAAAUGCUGGUCCUGUUCAUCCAUGUCCUAAGUGCUUUUUAUUUUGCUGUACUGUUAUCAACUGUACUUGCUGCAACUUAGUGGGUAAAGUCUUAUUGAGCUGAAUGGUUCAGGAGAAAGCUGAACAACCAUCAGAAGUGUUAAGAUGCUGUGCAACAAAGACUGGCCGAUUGUGUUUGGCUAAUUAUUUCUUGGCUUUAACUUUUAUUGCACUUAUUACAAUCUUGCGCUGGGGGAGAGCCGUACAUCACAAAAGCAGAAGACCGAAGAUGACCCUGGAAAAUCUACAAACAGAGGAUGUUCGACACCGGAGACAACAGCUGUGGUCCUAUUUUGAAAAUUGAUUUGCUGUAAAUUUAAUAAGGGCUUUAUUGAUCAGUAUAUUGUUACAGAGUGGGAGGGAGAUAAAUCUUUAAGCGAAAGGAGGAUCAGAGUUGUAAAUGGUUGUAGUUUAAUGUUCUCUUUUGGAGUUAACGAAUAAAACUGUUAUUUUUUUCUUUAAAUAGUGGAAUUUGAUUAGUUCUCUGUCACUCAUUCUUUAACAAAUUAUGAGGUGAGAUGAGCUUUUCUGCCAAUUAAAUCAAGCACACAGAAGGGUUUACCUCGUGUUGUAAUAGUUUGGGGGCUCAGGUCCGUGAUUUGGACAGGUUUAGACAGAUCUGAACAAAUUUGGGGUACGAAAAAUCCCA